This 782-nucleotide ribosomal RNA is filed under the name Klebsiella pneumoniae. RNAcentral's name for it is "bacterial LSU rRNA". It matches the Rfam family "Bacterial large subunit ribosomal RNA", at positions 1 to 818 of the family's 2925-position model. Lineage: Bacteria; Pseudomonadati; Pseudomonadota; Gammaproteobacteria; Enterobacterales; Enterobacteriaceae. The record is from RNAcentral.
GGGUUGUGAGGUUAAGCGACUAAGCGUACACGGUGGAUGCCCUGGCAGUCAGAGGCGAUGAAGGACGUGCUAAUCUGCGAAAAGCGUCGGUAAGGUGAUAUGAACCGUUACAGCCGGCGAUGUCCGAAUGGGGAAACCCAGUGCAAUUCGUUGCACUAUCGUUAACUGAAUACAUAGGUUAACGAGGCGAACCGGGGGAACUGAAACAUCUAAGUACCCCGAGGAAAAGAAAUCAACCGAGAUUCCCCCAGUAGCGGCGAGCGAACGGGGAGCAGCCCAGAGUCUGAAUCAGCUUGUGUGUUAGUGGAACGGUCUGGAAAGUCCGACGGUACAGGGUGAUAGUCCCGUACACCAAAAUGCACAGGCUGUGAACUCGAAGAGUAGGGCGGGACACGUGGUAUCCUGUCUGAAUAUGGGGGGACCAUCCUCCAAGGCUAAAUACUCCUGACUGACCGAUAGUGAACCAGUACCGUGAGGGAAAGGCGAAAAGAACCCCGGCGAGGGGAGUGAAAAAGAACCUGAAACCGUGUACGUACAAGCAGUGGGAGCACCUUCGGGUGUGACUGCGUACCUUUUGUAUAAUGGGUCAGCGACUUAUAUUCUGUAGCAAGGUUAACCGUAUAGGGGAGCCGCAGGGAAACCGAGUCUUAACUGGGCGUUAAGUUGCAGGGUAUAGACCCGAAACCCGGUGAUCUAGCCAUGGGCAGGUUGAAGGUUGGGUAACACUAACUGGAGGACCGAACCGACUAAUGUUGAAAAAUUAGCGGAUGACUUGUGGCUGG